RNAcentral lists this ribosomal RNA (492 nucleotides) under uncultured bacterium. Its description in RNAcentral is "partial 16S ribosomal RNA". It matches the Rfam family "Bacterial small subunit ribosomal RNA", at positions 29 to 507 of the family's 1533-position model. The record is from RNAcentral.
AGUGAACGCUGGCGGUAGGCCUAACACAUGCAAGUCGAACGGCAGCACAGUAAGAGCUUGCUCUUACGGGUGGCGAGUGGCGGACGGGUGAGGAAUACAUCGGAAUCUACUUUUUCGUGGGGGAUAACGUAGGGAAACUUACGCUAAUACCGCAUACGACCUACGGGUGAAAGCAGGGGAUCUUCGGACCUUGCGCGAUUGAAUGAGCCGAUGUCGGAUUAGCUAGUUGGCGGGGUAAAGGCCCACCAAGGCGACGAUCCGUAGCUGGUCUGAGAGGAUGAUCAGCCACACUGGAACUGUGCCACGGUCCAGACUCCUACGGAUGGCAGACGUGGCGAAUAAUGGACAAUGGGAGGAAGCCUGAACCAGCCAUCCCCAGAGAGUGCACAAGACCUUAGGGUUGUCAAGCACUUUUGUUAGGAAAGAAAAGCGGACGGUUAAUCCCCCGCUGUUCUGACGGUACCUCAUGAACCAGCCCCCGCUCACUUCGUA